Lontra canadensis (Northern American river otter) is the source of this 3793-nucleotide RNA transcript. It is a transcript of the gene named GIT ArfGAP 2, with no coding region annotated. The transcript has 17 exons. The record is from RefSeq and is a predicted model, not a curated record. Lineage: Eukaryota; Metazoa; Chordata; Mammalia; Carnivora; Mustelidae.
UGCGACGCGGCUGCGAGGCGCUGAGGGGAGAGGCGCCACCGCCAGCGCCGCCGGGGAGACCCGUUAGAGCGGAAGCGCCUCCGCUGCAGCCUUCGCUGUCCCGCGGACCCUGAUUCCUGGCAGGUGGGAGGCGGGAGCCAUGUCGAAGCGGCUUCGGAGCAGCGAGGUGUGCGCUGAUUGCAGCGGGCCGGAUCCUUCCUGGGCAUCAGUAAAUAGGGGAACUUUUAUAUGUGACGAGUGCUGCAGUGUCCAUCGGAGCCUAGGGCGCCACAUCUCACAAGUAAGGCAUCUUAAACACACACCGUGGCCUCCCACGUUGCUGCAGAUGGUUGAAACCUUGUAUAAUAAUGGUGCUAAUUCUAUAUGGGAGCAUUCUUUGCUGGACCCUGCCUCUAUUAUGAGCGGAAGACGUAAAGCUAAUCCACAGGAUAAAGUACACCCUAAUAAAGCGGAAUUCAUCAGAGCCAAGUAUCAGAUGUUAGCAUUCGUACAUCGCUUGCCUUGCCGGGAUGAUGACAGCGUGACUGCCAAAGACCUUAGCAAGCAACUCCACUCAAGUGUGAGAACGGGGAAUCUCGAAACCUGUUUGAGGCUGUUAUCUUUAGGAGCACAAGCCAACUUCUUUCACCCUGAAAAAGGAAACACCCCACUCCACGUCGCCUCCAAAGCAGGGCAGAUUUUACAGGCGGAAUUAUUGGCAGUAUAUGGAGCAGACCCAGGCACACAGGAUUCUAGUGGAAAAACUCCUGUGGAUUAUGCGAGGCAAGGAGGGCACCAUGAGCUGGCAGAACGCCUUGUAGAAAUACAAUAUGAGCUGACUGACAGACUAGCCUUCUAUCUCUGUGGCAGGAGACCAGAUCACAAAAAUGGACAGCACUUUAUAAUACCUCAAAUGGCAGACAGCAGCCUGGAUUUGUCUGAAUUGGCAAAAGCUGCUAAGAAGAAACUUCAAUCCCUAAGUAAUCAUUUGUUUGAAGAACUUGCCAUGGAUGUGUACGAUGAAGUUGACAGGCGAGAGACCGAUGCAGUCUGGCUUGCCACGCAAAACCACAGCACCCUGGUAACCGAGACAACUGUCGUCCCCUUCCUUCCGGUCAAUCCCGAGUACUCUUCAACACGGAACCAGGGCAGACAGAAACUUGCUCGGUUUAACGCCCAUGAGUUUGCCACACUGGUCAUCGACAUUCUCAGUGACGCCAAGAGGAGACAGCAAGGCAGUCCUCUUUCUGGUUCAAAAGACAAUGUGGAGCUUAUACUGAAAACAAUCAGUAACCAGCACAGUGUUGAGAGUCAAGACAAUGACCAGCCAGACUAUGACAGUGUGGCCUCAGAUGAAGACACAGAUCUGGAAGCUACUGCAAGCAAAGCAAACAGGCAGAAGAGCCUAGAUUCAGAUUUAUCAGAUGGACCAGUCACUGUGCAGGAAUUUAUGGAGGUCAAAAACGCUCUAGUGGCUUCUGAGGCCAAGAUACAACAGCUAAUGAAGGUGAAUAACAACUUGAGUGACGAGCUGAGAAUUAUGCAGAAAAAGCUUCAAACACUCCAGAGUGAAAAUUCGAACCUCAGGAAACAGGCCACAACCAAUAUUUAUCAGGUGCAAACUGGUUCUGAGUACACAGACACUUCGAACCACUCUUCCUUAAAGCGACGUCCGUCUGCCCGGGGCAGUAGGCCCAUGUCCAUGUACGAGACGGGAUCAGGUCAGAAACCAUAUCUCCCAAUGGGAGAAGUGAACCACCCCGAAGAGAGCAGGACGAGACUCCAGCCUUUCCCCGCGCACAUUUUUCCACUGGAGCAGCUCUGGAUGAAUUUUCUAGAAUAAUUAUUUAAAUGCAAGUUUUUUACAUUUCAUUUUUGUAUGUGUAUGUGUGUAUGUACACACACAGACACACAUCCACAUACACUCAUCCACAUGUAUGUGCAUGUGUAUAUUAAAACUAAAGGAAAUAAGCAUUCCCUGUGAAAGGUAAGAUGGGGUAUUUUUGUUUAUUUUGGAUCACCUCUAGAAGAGCCUGCUUUCCCUAUUCCUGCACAGGGUACAUGCCUAGCUUUGGUCUUCCAGCUACACUUCUGUAUUCCAGUAACUGACUAAUGGAUUCAUAAAGCCAGGUCAGAAUAAGGCACCUGGUAAAACAGAACUGCUUACUGAUAGGAGAGAAAAACUCAGGGAUCUGGAAGGUUGUCAUAGAUUUUAUAGAGUAGCUUUACAGACUCUCCACAUGGCUCCAAGCCAACACUUUAAAUCAUUUGCCAGAUGAAUCUGAGUAGAUAGAGCAUGAGCUCACACUGAAUUUUAGUAGGAACCCGGCAAGCAUCUUAAAUUAGAGAUCCAAAUAGGAACAUUCAAAUAUGGGAAAACCUCAGCAUACAGUGGAAGGGUGUCUUUGCCCUGGGAGAGGAAAAGGAGGCCAUGGGGAGAGUAAAGCGAAAUGCGGCAUGAAUAAGUCUUUUCCCACCCUGGGGCUGGCAGCCUUGCCAGUCUGCAUCGGGCCUUCGGAGGGCCAAGCAGCAUUACCAGCAAGGAGCAGAUAAUUAGACUUCAUAUAGACUCUUAAACUGGCUUACUCUACACUAGCCAUUCUUUUGGAUGAAGAUACAGAGUCUCCAUAGGUUUGAACAAGGGUCUUAAUUUACAGCCGUAUCUUUAGCCAUAUUUAUUGCAGCAUCAAUAAAAUUCCUUAGUCACAUGUUUCAAUUAACUUGGAUUAAAUUCAAGGUGUAAAGGUAGAAAUAGCUCGUAUUUGUAUUUUGCAAAGUAAUUGGUUAGGUUUUGAAUCAGAUUCCACUGACUUCUGUUCUAGAGGAUGAAAUUCCCAAACAUUGUGGAUAAAAUAAAUACUGAGGGAAAAUCAUUUUUAAAACACUCCAGAACUAACAUAGCCCCCUUCAAGGGAAUGUAAUGUGGUCCCCUCCAAAUUUGGUCACCCUGGAAGACCUGUGCUUCACUGUGCUGACAUUUGCCCAAAACAUUUUUAGGAUUCCUCUAUGGAAUCUGUGUCUCGUUUUUGAAACUCCACAAUUGCAUCAAAUAUUUGUAUCCUGAGGGAUAGAUGUUUUGGGAAACAUAAAAGUGGUUGGAUACCAAAUGUCAUGCUGGAUUAAUCCAUUUUGGUUCACAAACAACAUGCAACAGUAAUAACAGUUUUCUUGUGUGGCUCAUACCAACUGUCUCUGAGGGCAGUUCUUGGAGAGCCCUAAGUGUUCUGAGCAGUGACAAUCCUCAGGGCCCCAGGCAUGGAAUACUGGAGUUAGUAGGAGACGGGACUUAGGUUCUUGGUGCUGGUUUUCUGCCGAUUCUGUGGCCUUGGUGUUGUCCCCUAGGUCUUGAGUAUGUAAGUGCUAGCCUGUGUGCAUUGUAUUUUAGUUAAACUCCAUACUCCUUAGAGAACUAAAUAUAGUUUGUUGCCUCACAUGUCUGCGUUAGUUUAUACCAGGGAUCUGUUUAUGGAGUUGCCACUGAGCUAAGAAGAAAAUGUUGCCAAGAAAGAGAGAAAUCAUUUCUGGAUCUACUAUUCAGCUUCUACUAAAUUUUCAAUAAAGGGUUGAUUCCUGUCCCAAGUGAGAUCUGAGGCCUGAAGGCCACAUAGCCUAAUGGGUAAUGAUUCCUAGGCAAGGCUCCCAAAUGUAUCAUGCUUGAAACAUAACAGGUGUUGCCUUUCUCUCUUGCAGGCAUCCAGGCUGGAGAAGCAGAACAGCACACCUGAAAGUGACUACGACAACACCCCCAAUGACACGGACCCAGACGACACAGGGUCAGGCAGAAAGGGAAGGCAGAGGAGUUUGGUGUGGCAAG